UACGUAGGGCGCAAGGCGUUGUCCGGAAUUAUUGGGCGUAAAGAGCUCGUAGGCGGUCUGUCACGUCUGCCGUGAAAACCCGAGGCUUAACCUCGUGGCUUGCGGUGGAUACGGGCAGACUAGAGGUAGGUAGGGGAGAACGGAAUUCCCGGUGUAGCGGUGAAAUGCGCAGAUAUCAGGAGGAACACCGGUGGCGAAGGCGGGUCUCUGGGCCGAUACUGACGCUGAGGAGCGAAAGCGUGGGGAGCAAACAGG
RNAcentral lists this ribosomal RNA (255 nucleotides) under uncultured bacterium. RNAcentral describes it as "partial 16S ribosomal RNA". It matches the Rfam family "Bacterial small subunit ribosomal RNA", at positions 524 to 776 of the family's 1533-position model. The record is from RNAcentral.